GUGCAGCAGGCGCGAAUACUUUACAAUGUGCGAAAGCACGAUAAGGGAACUCUGAGUGCCUCCUAAGGAGGCUGUUCUGAUGUCUAAAAGCAACAGAAGUAAGGGCUGGGUAAGACCGGUGCCAGCCGCCGCGGUAACACCGGCAGCCCAAGUGGUAGCCACGUUUAUUGGGUCUAAAGCGUUCGUAGCCGGCCAGGUAAGUUCCUUGGUAAAUUUAGCCGCUUAACGGUUAAGCUUUCGGGGAAUACUGCUUGGCUUGGGACUGGGGAGAGGUCAGAGGUACUCCGGGGGUAGGGGUGAAAUCUAUUAAUCCCUGGGGGACCACCGGUAGCGAAGGCGUCUGACCAGACCAGGUCCGACAGUGAGGGACGAAGGCUAGGGGCGCGAACCGGAUUAGAUACCCCUGUAGU
This 410-nucleotide ribosomal RNA is filed under the name uncultured microorganism. RNAcentral's name for it is "bacterial SSU rRNA". It matches the Rfam family "Archaeal small subunit ribosomal RNA", at positions 330 to 745 of the family's 1478-position model. The record is from RNAcentral.